CAGGUCUUGACAUCCUCUUGCAAGGGCCCUAGCCGGCCCCCUCCUUCGGGACAAGAGAGACAGGUGGUGCAUGGUUGUCGUCAGCUCGUGUCGUGAGAUGUUGGGUUAAGUCCCGCAACGAGCGCAACCCUUGUGUUUAGUUGCCAACAGGUUAAGCUGUGCACUCUAAACAGACUGCCGUGGAUAACACGGAGGAAGGUGGGGAUGACGUCAAAUCAUCAUGCCCCUUAUGAUCUGGGCUACACACGUGCUACAAUGGUCGGUACAACGGGCAGCGAAAGAGCGAUCUGGAGCGAAUCCUAAAAAGCCGAUCCCAGUUCGGAUUGCAGGCUGAAACUCGCCUACAUGAAGUUGGAGUUGCUAGUAAUCGCGAAUCAGAAUGUCGCGGUGAAUGCGUUCCC
RNAcentral lists this ribosomal RNA (401 nucleotides) under uncultured bacterium. RNAcentral describes it as "bacterial SSU rRNA". It matches the Rfam family "Bacterial small subunit ribosomal RNA", at positions 975 to 1375 of the family's 1533-position model. The record is from RNAcentral.